Molecule: ribosomal RNA, 500 nt
Filed under: uncultured bacterium
Lineage: Bacteria
Description: partial 16S ribosomal RNA
Rfam family: Bacterial small subunit ribosomal RNA
Source: RNAcentral
AUUGAACGCUGGCGGCAUGCCUUACACAUGCAAGUCGAACGGCAGCACGGGAGCAAUCCUGGUGGCGAGUGGCGAACGGGUGAGUAAAGUAUCGGAACGUGCCCAGUCGUGGGGGAUGACGUAGCGAAAGUUACGCUAAUACCGCAUACGAUCUAUGGAUGAAAGCGGGGGAUCGCAAGACCUCGCGCGAUUGGAGCGGCCGAUAUCAGAUUAGGUAGUUGGUGGGGUAAAGGCUCACCAAGGCGACGAUCUGUAGCUGGUCUGAGAGGACGAGCAGCCACGCUAGGACUGGGACACGGCCCAGACUCCUACGGGAGGCAGCAGUCGGGAAUUUUGGGCAAUGGGCGAAAGCCUGAUCCAGCCAUACCGCGUGCAGGAUGAAGGCCUUCGGGUUGUAAACUGCUUUUGUACGGAACGAAAAGGUUUGGCCUAAUAAGCUGAGCUCAUGACGGUACCGUAAGAAUAAGCACCGGCUAACUACGUGCCAGCCGCCGCAGUAA